GCAAAGUAUAGUAGUAGGGCCCUAGGUUAGGAAAGUAUAUUUAUGGUAUUGUAUUGUACACAAACAUAAAACAUGAUUAUAUUUCAUUCCAGAUCAUUCAUUUGAGGGCUUGAUAACACAAUUUCAAUCUUCACUAUAUGAAUAUUAUGAAACCAAUGAAGGCCCACCCUUGUACUCCCCUGUUGAUGCGAGACUUUGUGGAAGAACAUGCAUGUGGAUUGUAUGAAAUUAUUCUAAACUUAAUUAUAAAAGAUACCACUUCAAAAGAAAGGACUGUUGCCCUUCUUCACAUCCUAGCAUACUACAGGUAUAAUCUAUCUAAAAAUACAGCUGAUAAAGAGGGUUUGUUUGAACCCUCUAAAAAACAAAUGCUAUAGGCCUGUGGUAUCACAUAAAAAUUCGCUUGACAUGUACUAGACUAUAUGCUUAGCUUAUCCUACCUACUUGAACAACUACUUUGAUCCUUUUUCUGUUAUUGUCUGUAGAUCACAGAAGACCUCUCAAUUUAAUAAGGACGUUGGUGCAUUUCUUCACCACCAUGGAGCAUCAAGGUCUGCAAUCAACACUGGACCAGUGCUAGGUGAGUGCAAGUAACAUAAUUAAAAAUGACAUCUAGUGUAUCCCUUUGAACAAUCUAAAUCCACAAGAUAUUGAAACUGUGGUGGGUGACAUGGAAUUGGAAGACCUGUGUUCAAAAAUCCUGCUUUUUUUCAGGAUACAGUGUGGCACCAAGGACACUUGACAGGCAAAAAAAAACAUAAAAAAGGAACUACCCAAAUCAGCUGCAGGAACAUCUAAAAUAUGCAGUUGAUGAGAAGGGCUUCAUAAUGCUGCUUAUAGAUGACUUUCACAAUAUUCACACUGUGCGACUGCCAGGGAGUGAUAUGAAACUAUCAGUGGCUACCCAUAUGACCUCUUCACUGUUAGAUAUCCACCCUUCUAUCAAAGCCCCAAA
Nematostella vectensis (starlet sea anemone) is the source of this 955-nucleotide long non-coding RNA. RefSeq lists it as uncharacterized. The transcript has 2 exons. The record is from RefSeq and is a predicted model, not a curated record. NCBI's taxonomy places the organism in Eukaryota, Metazoa, Cnidaria, Anthozoa, Actiniaria, Edwardsiidae.